RNAcentral lists this ribosomal RNA (253 nucleotides) under uncultured bacterium. Its description in RNAcentral is "partial 16S ribosomal RNA". It matches the Rfam family "Bacterial small subunit ribosomal RNA", at positions 524 to 776 of the family's 1533-position model. The record is from RNAcentral.
UACGGAGGAUCCGAGCGUUAUCCGGAUUUAUUGGGUUUAAAGGGAGCGUAGGUGGAUUGUUAAGUCAGUUGUGAAAGUUUGCGGCUCAACCGUAAAAUUGCAGUUGAAACUGGCAGUCUUGAGUACAGUAGAGGUGGGCGGAAUUCGUGGUGUAGCGGUGAAAUGCUUAGAUAUCACGAAGAACUCCGAUUGCGAAGGCAGCUCACUGGACUGCAACUGACACCGAGGCUCGAAAGUGUGGGUAUCAAACAGG